UUACCUGGUCUUGACAUCCCGGAGAACCCUUAGGAAACUAGGGGUGCUUCCAUCUGGAAGAAUCUGGAGACAGGUGCUGCAUGGCUGUCGUCAGCUCGUGUCGUGAGAUGUUGGGUUAAGUCCCGCAACGAGCGCAACCCUUGCCUUUAGUUGCCAGCAGUUCGGCUGGGCACUCUAAAGGGACUGCCGGUGUUAAACCGGAGGAAGGUGGGGAGUGACGUCAAGUCCUCAUGGCCUUUAUGACCAGGGCUACACACGUACUACAAUGGCCGAUACAAAGGGCAGCGACACUGCGAGGUGAAGCCAAUCCCGUAAAAUCGGUCUCAGUCCGGAUUGGAGUCUGCAACUCGACUCCAUGAAGUUGGAAUCGCUAGUAAUCGUGGAUCAGCAUGCCACGGUGAAUACAUUCCCGGGCCUU
RNAcentral lists this ribosomal RNA (418 nucleotides) under uncultured Desulfobulbus sp. Its description in RNAcentral is "bacterial SSU rRNA". It matches the Rfam family "Bacterial small subunit ribosomal RNA", at positions 971 to 1382 of the family's 1533-position model. The record is from RNAcentral. Lineage: Bacteria; Pseudomonadati; Thermodesulfobacteriota; Desulfobulbia; Desulfobulbales; Desulfobulbaceae.